This is a long non-coding RNA of Anopheles gambiae (African malaria mosquito), 320 nucleotides long. RefSeq lists it as uncharacterized. Lineage: Eukaryota; Metazoa; Arthropoda; Insecta; Diptera; Culicidae. The record is from RefSeq and is a predicted model, not a curated record. The transcript is spliced from 3 exons.
AUAUCUGUCAAGUCAGAAAUGUAAACAAACACGGACAACCGCCCGUAAAGAUUGUGUGCAGAAUAAUCGUUAAAUUUUAUGUGAAAACUCGGGAAAAGGAAAAACAUCAUUUCAUCCCGAAAUUUGGCAACAUUCGUCCGAGUAUGAUCGAGCAGCUGUGUGUGUGUAUGCCGACGAAAUACGACGCCGUUUCUACAACAAUCACUAAAGCCGGCUGUGAUCGUGAUCGGCACAUUCUCAACUGGACCAACACACCGGUCGUUGUGUAUCUUCAAGCAAACCAACGUUGCCAUACACCACAAAAUAGCAUGGAAAGGAAA